Molecule: ribosomal RNA, 253 nt
Filed under: uncultured bacterium
Lineage: Bacteria
Description: partial 16S ribosomal RNA
Rfam family: Bacterial small subunit ribosomal RNA
Source: RNAcentral
UACGUAGGGCGCAAGCGUUGUCCGGAAUUAUUGGGCGUAAAGAGCUCGUAGGCGGCUUGUCACGUCGGGUGUGAAAGCCCGGGGCUUAACCCCGGGUCUGCAUUCGAUACGGGCUAGCUAGAGUGUGGUAGGGGAGAUCGGAAUUCCUGGUGUAGCGGUGAAAUGCGCAGAUAUCAGGAGGAACACCGGUGGCGAAGGCGGAUCUCUGGGCCAUUACUGACGCUGAGGAGCGAAAGCGUGGGGAGCGAACGGG